Molecule: ribosomal RNA, 378 nt
Filed under: uncultured bacterium
Lineage: Bacteria
Description: partial 16S ribosomal RNA
Rfam family: Bacterial small subunit ribosomal RNA (bases 1-233)
Source: RNAcentral
GCAGUCUGCAACUCGACUGCAUGAAGUCGGAAUCGCUAGUAAUCGCGGAUCAGCAUGCCGCGGUGAAUACGUUCCCGGGCCUUGUACACACCGCCCGUCACACCAUGGGAGUAGAUUGUACCAGAAGCGGCUAGCCUAACCUUCGGGAGGGCGGUUACCACGGUAUGGUUUAUGACUGGGUGAAGUCGUAACAAGGUAGCCGUAGGGGAACCUGCGACUGGAUCACCUCCUUUUAAAGAAAAGGGUCUAGACCCCACACACGCCACUCGGUAAGGAAUUGGGCCUAUAGCUCAGCUGGCUAGAGCACACGACUGAUAAUCGUGAGGUCAGUGGUUCGAGUCCACUUGGGCCCACCAAAUGGGGCUGUAGCUCAGUUGG